UACGGGGGGGGCAAGCGUUGUUCGGAAUUACUGGGCGUAAAGGGCUCGUAGGUGGCCAACUAAGUCAGACGUGAAAUCCCUCGGCUUAACCGGGGAACUGCGUCUGAUACUGGAUGGCUUGAGUUUGGGAGAGGGAUGCGGAAUUCCAGGUGUAGCGGUGAAAUGCGUAGAUAUCUGGAGGAACACCGGUGGCGAAGGCGGCAUCCUGGGCCGGUAUUGACGCUGAGGAGCGAAAGCCAGGGGAGCAAACGGG
RNAcentral lists this ribosomal RNA (253 nucleotides) under uncultured bacterium. RNAcentral's name for it is "partial 16S ribosomal RNA". It matches the Rfam family "Bacterial small subunit ribosomal RNA", at positions 524 to 776 of the family's 1533-position model. The record is from RNAcentral.